CAGUUAUAGUUUACUUGAUAAUCUUACUACAUGGAUAACCGUGGUAAUUCUAGAGCUAAUACAUGCGAAAAAACCUGACUUCGCGGAAGGGUUGUAUUUAUUAGAUAAAGAACCAAUGCGGGUUCUGCUCGCCAUUUGGUGAUUCAUAAUAACUUUACGGAUCGCAUAGCCUUGUGCAUGCGACAUAUCAUUCAAGUUUCUGACCUAUCAGCUUUAGACGGUAGGGUAUU
This 230-nucleotide ribosomal RNA is filed under the name Cryptosporidium andersoni. Its description in RNAcentral is "partial 18S ribosomal RNA". It matches the Rfam family "Eukaryotic small subunit ribosomal RNA", at positions 107 to 337 of the family's 1831-position model. Lineage: Eukaryota; Apicomplexa; Conoidasida; Eucoccidiorida; Cryptosporidiidae. The record is from RNAcentral.